This is a non-coding RNA of Apus apus (common swift), 366 nucleotides long. NCBI's taxonomy places the organism in Eukaryota, Metazoa, Chordata, Aves, Apodiformes, Apodidae. The record is from the annotation of a RefSeq genome assembly.
AUGGCUUUACUUCUGUUGGCUGCGGGCAGAGCCCAGGUGCAGCAGGAGCCGUCGGCAGAGACCACCGAGGGCAUCGGCAUCAGCAUCAACUGCUCACACCCCAACAUCCAAACCGGCGAGUUCAUCCAGUGGUACCGUCAGCUCCCGGGCCGAGGACCCGAACGACUCGUGAGCGGUCUCAAAGGGUCCAAAGAUGUGGCGGAGCCGCCGGGCCGGCUGUCGGUGGCGGCAGACCGCCGGUCCAGCGCCCUGUGGCUCGCCUGGCCCCGGCUCGGGGACGCGGCGGUGUAUUACUGCGCCCUCUCAACCCCAAACACAGAACCUUUGGUGUUCACAAAAUAUUCUGGAGUUUCAGUGAAUGCUUGA